Small nucleolar RNA from Trichomycterus rosablanca, 129 nucleotides. The record is from RefSeq and is a predicted model, not a curated record. Lineage: Eukaryota; Metazoa; Chordata; Actinopteri; Siluriformes; Trichomycteridae.
GUCCAAAGUGUUGAGUUCAGGUCUGGGCUCCUCCCCAGUUCUGGUAAUUAAUCUUUGGUAUAAAGAGGGCUGAACGACCAUCAAAGGCAGUAUUCAUCUUGCUUCCUUACUGUAUUUCAGCCAACAAUU